CCUACGGGAGACAGCAGUGGGGAAUAUUGGGCAAUGGGCGCAAGCCUUACCCAGCAAUACCGCGUGAGUGAAGAAGGUCUUCGGAUUGUAAAGCUCUUUGAUCAGGGACGAACAGAUGACGGUACCUGAAGCACAAGCCCCGGCUAACUACGUGCCAGCAGCCGCGGUAAAACGCAGGGGGCGAGCGUUGUCCGGAAUGACUGGGCGUAAAGGGUGCGUAGGCGGGAUAAUAAGUUAGAAGGGAAAUACCCAGGGCUUAACUCGGGUGCUGCUUCUAAGACUGUUGAGCUUGAGUGCGAGAGAGGUUAAUGGAAUGCCUGGUGUAGCGGUGGAAUGCGUAGAUAUUAGGAAGAACACCAGAGGCGAAGGCGAUUAACUGGACCGUAACUGACGCUGAGGCACGAAAGUGUGGGUAGCAAACAGGAUUAGAUACCCGUGUAGUC
Molecule: ribosomal RNA, 443 nt
Filed under: uncultured bacterium
Lineage: Bacteria
Description: partial 16S ribosomal RNA
Rfam family: Bacterial small subunit ribosomal RNA
Source: RNAcentral